UUGUGGUGUGAUAAAAAUACGUUAGUAAUCAAUUGCAACUCCAACAGCAUAGACAUUUCUCGUCUUUAAAGCGCGUCUAGUCGUUGUGUUUUUCUUAAAUCCAUAAACGUGUAUAUUUUUUUUAACCCCCCAAAAAUUCAAACACCAUAAAACGGAGGAUACUCUAUAAAGUGUAUUAAAUAAAAAACAUUAACACCAACAACAAGUUUCUACGUUUCUACUAAAAAAUUUUAGUUUAGUCAACGUUUUGGUUUAUUGUAAAAAACCUCAUAAAAGUUGUUGGUUUAUAAAACAGUUUUGUAUAAAACAGUUUUAUUUUGUUUUAAAGCAAUACCCCUCUCCAAAUACCCAUAACACACAUACACACUAACACAGCCAAAAUGAGGCCAUAUUUAAUAACAUUUGCCUGUCUCUGCUCUGCCCUCGCUUUUGUAACAGCCGUACCAGUGCCUGCCUCCAAUCAGGAACUAGAUGUGCUACAGAUUCCACUAUCAAAUGGAAAGGAAUUGGAUGUUUUAACAUUGGGCUCCCGAGACCAAGAACAAUUAAUAGCAGAACGUAAUAAAAGAACAAUAGGUUUAUUACGUGAUCUGUUUCCCGAUAUAACUAAGCAAAUUGAUGGUAUAGUAAAUCGUAUUAUAGCUCAAGUAAUACGAGUAGCUGGACCCGAUGUUUUGCGUUCUGUAUUGGGUAGUAAUCGUAAUAUGACACCCCGGCCUAAUUUGGCAGCCGAUUUCGAUGAUGAUGACGAUGAUGAAGAUGAUGUAAAUAAAAUAGAUAAUGAUAGUAAAGCGACUACGACAACAUCUGCAGGUGGUGAUAAUACUAGGGUACAAAUUGACUUACCAACAUUUCCACCAGAAACUGCACAAGCCGAUGCCACAAAUAAAGUGAGUUCGAGCAGUUUCGACAGCAGCUCAAAUCCAACCUCAACCUUAACUACUCCUACCACAACUUCAACAACUAGCAGUACUACCACUCCUUCUACUACCUCUUCCUCGACCACUACGACCACCACCUUAGCUCCUUCUACCACUACUACUACCACCACCUCUACGACAACUGAAAGUCCCAUUUUAAUUAUUGCGCCUAUUACUACCACCACCACUCCUAUUCCCACUACUAGUACAACUUCAACAACCACUUCUACUCCCAAACCCGAUAUUACCCUUAAUGUACCCAAUUCAAUAACCUCAUCAAUGGUGAAUUCAUUAACAACUUCUCUACAAAAUGAAAUCAAUUCAAAUACCGAAACGAGAGCUGUUAAUGAAUCGCAAUUGAUAGCUAUUGUUGAAAGUUUAAAUCGUUUAUUAAAUUCUACAAAUUAUUUUGUUGCCACCAGAGAUAAUUUCUCCAACUCAUCACAACCAACAGCAACAACUUCAACUAUAACAGCAGAUUCAACAACAACACCAAAAAUUACCAAAUUAUUACCAGUCAAUAAUUAAAAUACAACUCUGUAAUUAUUCGACCAAAAAAUAAAAAAAACAAAACGAAGCUGACCUUCAAAAACACAACGCUUUAUCAAACAAACAAUUCUACGCUCUAAUCAUUUCUGGAAUUAUGAAAAAAAUUUAUCAUUUUGAGUUCAUCUGGCAUCAAUGGUGCCACUGAUACACAAAUUGAUUUAUCGGCCAUUAA
RNAcentral lists this unclassified non-coding RNA (1641 nucleotides) under Lucilia cuprina (Australian sheep blowfly). RNAcentral describes it as "uncharacterized LOC111678210, transcript variant X1". Lineage: Eukaryota; Metazoa; Arthropoda; Insecta; Diptera; Calliphoridae. The record is from RNAcentral.